RNAcentral lists this non-coding RNA (448 nucleotides) under Perkinsus marinus ATCC 50983. RNAcentral's name for it is "Eukaryotic large subunit ribosomal RNA". It matches the Rfam family "Eukaryotic large subunit ribosomal RNA", at positions 1 to 466 of the family's 3401-position model. Lineage: Eukaryota; Perkinsozoa; Perkinsida; Perkinsidae. The record is from Rfam by way of RNAcentral.
AAGGCCUGAUGUGUGUGAGAUUACCCGCUGAAUUUAAGCAUAUAAGUAAGCGGAGGAAAAGAAACUAACUAGGAUUCCCUUAGUAAUGGCGAAUGAACAGGGAUCAGCUCAGUGCCAAAUCGGAAUCACUUGUGGUUCUGAAAUGUGGCUUGAAGGCAGUACCAGUGGCAUCGCGGACGAAAGUCUCUUGGAAAAGAGCGUCAUAGAGGGUGAGAAUCCCGUGAGUCGUUCGCCGUUUGUCACGUACGGUCUGCGUUCUAACGAGUCGCGUUCCUUGGGAUGGAGCGUAAACGGGUGGUAAAUUCAUCCAAAGCAAAUAUAUACUCGAGACGAUAGCACAAAGUACGUGAGGAAAGUGAAAGACUUUGAGAGAGGUUAAUAGUGCUGAAUCGUGAGAAGAGCGGAUGCGCGUGCAUAUGCUGAUUGUAGAUGCUGCUCGCUCUGUCUU